Long non-coding RNA from Schistocerca gregaria, 844 nucleotides. RefSeq lists it as uncharacterized. Lineage: Eukaryota; Metazoa; Arthropoda; Insecta; Orthoptera; Acrididae. The transcript is spliced from 2 exons. The record is from RefSeq and is a predicted model, not a curated record.
CGUAAUCUUAAAGAUAGCUGGUUUAAAGCUUACUAUUAUAUUUCUAUAAAAUAAAUUAUAGGUUUUUUAUUAAGAUUAUUAAUUUAAUUUUAAAAUUUUUGUAAUAAUGAUAGAAUUAGUAUAUUUAUUUGUAUGAAAUUUUUACCUUGUGAACUUAUUAUAAGGAACUAGGCAAAAUUGAUUUCCGCCUGUUUAUCAAAAACAUGUCCUCUUGUUUAUAUUUUGAGGUCUGGCCUGCUCACUGAGCGUAUUAUUAAAGAGCCGCGGUAUUUUGACCGUGCAAAGGUAGCAUAAUCAUUAGUCUCUUAAUUAGUGGCUGGAAUGAAUGGCUUGACGAGAAAUCAACUGUCUCUUAAUAAAUUUUUGAAUUUAACUUUUGAGUCAAAAGGCUUAAAUUCUUCUUUAGGACGAGAAGACCCUAUAGAGCUUGACAUUUUACUUUUAUAUAGUUUUUUGUUUGUCUUUCUAUAUUUAAUGAUGAUGUUUUGUUGGGGUGACAUGAAGAAUAGAUAAACUCUUCAUUAUUAUAUCAUUUAUUUAUGUUUGUUAUUUUGAUCCAUAAUUUAUGAUCAUAAGAUUAAGUUACCUUAGGGAUAACAGCGUAAUUGUUUUUGAGAGCUCAUAUCGACAAAGCAGAUUGCGACCUCGAUGUUGGAUUAAGAAAAAUUUUGGGUGCAGGAGCCCAAUGAUUAGGUCUGUUCGACCUUUAAAUUCUUACAUGAUCUGAGUUCAGACCGGCGUGAGCCAGGUCGGUUUCUAUCGUAAGAUUGUUAAUCCAUAUUAGUACGAAAGGACCAUAUGGUUAAAAUAUUUUUUGUUAUAUUGAUUAAUAUUAAUUUAUUUA